GAUGAACGCUGGCGGCGUGCCUAAUACAUGCAAGUCGAGCGAACAGACGAGGAUCUUGCUCCUCUGACGUUAGCGGCGGACGGGUGAGUAACACGUGGAUAACCUUGCUAUAAGACUGGGAUAACUUCGGGAAACCGGAGCUAAUACCGGAUAAUAUAUUGAACCGCAUGGUUCAAUAGUGAAAGACGGGUUUGCUGUCCCUUAUAGAUGGAUCCGCGCCGCAUUAGCUAGUUGGUAAGGUAACGGCUUACCAAGGCAACGAUGCGUAGCCGACCUGAGAGGGUGAUCGGCCACACUGGAACAGAGACACGGUCCAGACUCCUACGGGAGGCAGCAGUAGGGAAUCUUCCGCAAUGGGCGAAAGCCUGACGGAGCAACGCCGCGUGAGUGAUGAAGGUCUUCGGAUCGUAAAACUCUGUUAUUAGGGAAGAACAAAUGUGUAAGUAACUAUGCACGUCUUGACGGUACCUAAUCAGAAAGCCACGGCUAACUACGUG
RNAcentral lists this ribosomal RNA (497 nucleotides) under uncultured bacterium. Its description in RNAcentral is "partial 16S ribosomal RNA". It matches the Rfam family "Bacterial small subunit ribosomal RNA", at positions 28 to 507 of the family's 1533-position model. The record is from RNAcentral.